Molecule: ribosomal RNA, 636 nt
Filed under: Aspergillus bisporus
Lineage: Eukaryota; Fungi; Ascomycota; Eurotiomycetes; Eurotiales; Aspergillaceae
Description: eukaryotic LSU rRNA
Rfam family: Eukaryotic large subunit ribosomal RNA
Source: RNAcentral
GGUUGACCUCGGAUCAGGUAGGGAUACCCGCUGAACUUAAGCAUAUCAAUAAGCGGAGGAAAAGAAACCAACCGGGAUUGCCCCAGUAACGGCGAGUGAAGCGGCAAGAGCUCAAAUUUGAAAUCUGGCCCCCCCGGGGUCCGAGUUGUAAUUUGCAGAGGAUGCUUCGGGUGCGGCCCCCGUCUAAGUGCCCUGGAACGGGCCGUCAGAGAGGGUGAGAAUCCCGUCCUGGGCGGGGAGUCCGCGCCCGUGUGAAGCUCCUUCGACGAGUCGAGUUGUUUGGGAAUGCAGCUCUAAAUGGGUGGUAAAUUUCAUCUAAAGCUAAAUACCGGCCGGAGACCGAUAGCGCACAAGUAGAGUGAUCGAAAGAUGAAAAGCACUUUGAAAAGAGAGUUAAACAGCACGUGAAAUUGUUGAAAGGGAAGCGCUUGCGACCAGACUCGCCCCCGGGGUUCAGCCGGCACUCGUGCCGGUGCACUCCCCGUCGGGCGGGCCAGCGUCGGUUUGGGCGGCCGGUCAAAGGCCUCCGGAAUGUGUCGCCCUCCGGGGCGUCUUAUAGCCGGGGGUGCAAUGCGGCCAGCCCGGACCGAGGAACGCGCUUCGGCACGGACGCUGGCGUAAUGGUCGUAAACGACC